CGGGUGUUGAAUGCCACAGUCUGCUCAGGCUUAGGACUCAGAGGAGAGAGGAGUGUGGUCUACACUGCACAUCUCUGCCAAGCCUGGCACGGGAUUUGAAGUUCCACACCACUGAGCCAAACACAUCCAGACCCUCUUCCAACCCGGGGAUCUGGUGGUAAGCAAAAUACUAUUCCAGCAAGUGAUGCCCCCAGUCUCCUAAGGAUAUAAGGGAUGUUAAGAUCAUGGAGGGCAGGAGAAGCGAGAACUCCAUGGCGGUUGUGGAGUCCCGUUAUGGAAGUGGGACGUGGGAGCCAAUGUGAAAGCUCCCGAGCAGAACUGGGAGAGGACACGCCCCAGAAAACUUCAGAAGGUGAUGACAGCAAUCAGCUUGGAGGGCCUAGCAGAGACUGAUAGCACUAGGAGGAGUAAUAAUAAUAGCACAUAAGAAUAUUAGCAGUACUAUUCGAUAAUAUUUAAGGAACUUUUAAAAUAUACCAAGCAUUGCCAAACACUUUGGAAGUAUAAUAUUAACUCAUUUAGUCCAGGCAGUGGGUAGAAUUUGUAUCCCCAUUUUAAUAAUGAGAAAAGUGAGGCUUAGAGAGGUACAGUAAUUUACCCAAGAUUGCACAGCUAAGAUCUGGUGGAGGCAUGCACACAGGGCCCUCUGACCAUGGGCUCUAAAUCACUGUACUAUGUUCCCUUCCAUAGGCCUCAAUCAGUCAUGUAAUAUUUGACCUGGUCGUUAUCUUAGGUAUUAUCUAGACCACAGAUUUUGGAUGCAGUUCUCUGGCUGAAGACCUCUGAGCUAGGAUAACCCCUUCUCUUUUGACAGACGAGUCAGAGAAUCAGAUCAGUGAUAGAAGUGGAGUGCCAAUCCUGAGUAUCACCUCUACUCAAGUGCUCAACAUAUCCCUAGAUCCUCAAUUCCCUGGCAAAAGUGAUUGGAUGGAACCACAGGCUUCCAAGAGGGGACAGUCAAGCAUUAAAUACGAGAAUGCACAUAUAACUCUUGGUGCAAUGUUUAGCACAUACUAAGCCUGCAAUACAUGCUAAUCCCUUUGAGCAAAUCCACAUGGCCAGUUUCUGUGCUCAGGGGUGAGAAUAGCUGGGCUGUGAUUGGGGCAGGGGGAGCACUAAGUGGGAGGGACUUCCUGUCUCAGGUCCCUGCCAUCUUGACUGACAUGCUGCAGCCCUUGCCAAAACCCAUGGGUCAGAAUGAAAGUAAAGUGCCGUUGAAAACCUUGCAAUCCACCUUUAAAACUGCCGGGUGUAGUAAAA
RNAcentral lists this long non-coding RNA (1260 nucleotides) under Homo sapiens (human). Its description in RNAcentral is "HSALNT0183441". Lineage: Eukaryota; Metazoa; Chordata; Mammalia; Primates; Hominidae. The record is from RNAcentral.